Molecule: ribosomal RNA, 476 nt
Filed under: uncultured bacterium
Lineage: Bacteria
Description: bacterial SSU rRNA
Rfam family: Bacterial small subunit ribosomal RNA
Source: RNAcentral
GACGAACGCUGGCGGCGUGCCUAACACAUGCAAGUCGAGCGGGGUUGAAGCGAGAGGUAACUCGAACUUCUACCUAGCGGCGGACGGGUGAGUAACGCGUGGGCAACCUGCCUCAAGGUCUGGGAUAACAGCCCGAAAGGGCUGCUAAUACCGGGUAUGCUUGUGGCCUCGCAUGGGGCUACGAGCAAAGGGGAAACCCGCCUUGAGAUGGGCCCGCGUCCCAUCAGCUAGUUGGUGAGGUAACAGCUCACCAAGGCGACGACGGGUAGCCGGCCUGAGAGGGUGACCGGCCACACUGGGACUGAGACACGGCCCAGACUCCUACGGGGGGCAGCAGUGGGGGAUCUUGCACAAUGGGCGAAAGCCUGAUGCAGCGACGCCGCGUGAGCGAAGAAGGCCUUCGGUUGUAAGCUCUGUCUGGAGGGACGGAAGGAAGUAGACGGUACCGUCCGGAGGAAGCCACGGCUAACUACGUG